Ostrinia nubilalis (European corn borer) is the source of this 258-nucleotide long non-coding RNA. RefSeq lists it as uncharacterized. The record is from RefSeq and is a predicted model, not a curated record. Lineage: Eukaryota; Metazoa; Arthropoda; Insecta; Lepidoptera; Crambidae. The transcript is spliced from 3 exons.
CUAAUUUAAAAAUGUAUUUUACAAAAUUUUUGAUACUUUUGGCUAUUUUCGCUUUCGGUUUUUGCACCAUAAUCGACUUGAAAGAUGGCCGAAGGAUGGUUGGUCGAAUUUUGAAGCCGGAAUAUUAUUAUGACGCAACACGAAGAGUGGCCAGUCCUUAUAAAACCUGCUAUGUAGCUCCCGCCGCUGAUUGCUGUAUAGAGGUGUUGUAAGACCUAGUAUCUACGUACGGAUUCUACUAAUGUACCUACCUAAUAA